CGUUCCAGGACACGAAGGUAUCUAUCUUCAUGCCUUCCCCAUGUGCCCAGUCCCCCACCAGAUGCUGUUAGCCUUUUGGCCCCCCUGAUUUGCUGCACUGCUGCGCCCUGAUCCUUGCAGAGGGGUAAGUGACACCUUUGUCCCUUCGGGAAAGCAAUCUCCACUUUCCUCUCGUUGGUCAAGGGCAGCACUGUCCCUCUCCCGCCAGGCUCUCAUUGGUCAACGGCCGCGCCGUCCCGCCCUCUUCAGCCGGUGAUUGGUCAGCGGCAGCUCUGUCCUGCCCUCGUCAGCCUGUGAUUGGUCAACGGCCGCGCCGUCCCGCCCUCUUCAGCCAGUGAUUGGUCAGCGGCAGCGCUGUCCCGCCCUCGUCAGCCUGUGAUUGGUCACCGGCCGCGCCGUCCCGCCCUCUUCAGCCAGUGAUUGGUCAGCGGCAGCGCUGUCCCGCCCUCGUCAGCCUGUGAUUGGUCACGGGCCGCGCCGUCCCGCCCUCUUCAGCCAGUGAUUGGUCAGCGGCAGCGCUGUCCCGCCCUCGUCAGCCUGUGAUUGGUCACCGGUCGCGCCGCCCCUCCCUCGUCAGCCUCUCAUUGGUCAUCGGCAGCUUUGUCCCGCCCUCGCCCGCCUGUGAUUGGUCAUCGGCAGCGCCGUCCCGCCCUCGCCUGUAAGUGAUUGGUCAUCGGCAGCGCAGUCCCGCCUCCGCCAGCCUCUCAUUGGUUCUCGGCACCGCCGUCCCGCCUCCGCCAGCCUCUCAUUGGUCAGCAGCAGCGCCGUCCCGCCUCCGUCAUUCUCUCAUUGGUCAGCGGCAGCGCCGUCCCGCCUCCGCCAGCCUCUCAUUGGUCAGCGGCAGCGCCAUCCCGCCCUCGUCAGCCUGUGAUUGGUCACAGGCAGCGCCGUCCCGCCUUCGCCUGCCUGUGAUUGGUCAUCGGCAGCGCAGUCCCGCCUCCGCCAGCCUCUCAUUGGUUCUCGGCAACGCCGUCCCGCCUCCGCCAGCCUCUCAUUGGUCAGCAGCAGCGCCGUCCCGCCUCCGUCAUUCUCUCAUUGGUCAGCGGCAGCGCCGUCCCGCCUCCGCCAGCCUCUCAUUGGUCAGCGGCAGCGCCAUCCCGCCCUCGUCAGCCUGUGAUUGGUCACAGGCAGCGCCGUCCCGCCUUCGCCUGCCUGUGAUUGGUCAUCGGCAGCUCCGUCCCGCCUCCGCCCGUAUCUCAUUGGUCAGCAGCAGCCUUUUCCCCGCCUUUUCCCCGCCUUUUUCUUUGCUUUCUCUCUCCUUUCUUCCCCCUCAUCCUGUGUCAGAAGUGACUGAAGGAAUGAUGGACAAGCUGGUGCAGGAUGGCAGCAGCAGGGUGGAGGCACAGGUGAGUGCGAUGAAGCCGGGGGUGGGACUGGGUGGAGCCAGAGCCCAGCCUGAGCUCAUUUAAGGGCUGGGAAUCGCAGGGCUCAGAUGUGUGCCUGGGCUUCUGGUGUCAGUGAGGUUGGGUGAGCAGUGAGGUUUGGGGGAACCGAGUUGUUGGCCUUGAGAUUGAUGCCCAGCUCCUUGCUCGUCGCAUUCUGUUGGGCUCGAGGUUCCGGACACGGGUUGCUCUUCUAAGCAGUGGGAGGACUGCGAGAAAGACUUUGUUGGAUGCAGCAGGAAAGCACAGCCGCUGGUGGAUGCCAGUGUCCGCUCCUGAGGCUCUGCGCCAAGGUACGUGGAUCCCCGCCGUCUCCUGUUUCACACGCUCGCUCAGGUCCUCGGGCUUGGUGUCGGUUGUCCCUCGUGCUCACGUUGCUUUCACCGAGUGUUCUUCCUCUCCCCAUGCCCGGCUCUGCCCAGUGCUGAUGGGAUGUCAGUGCCCCCUGCUGCUCUCAAUCAAAGGUAGGUUCAAUUCCUGUUGUCUUCCAUAGCAUUUGCUACACUUUUAUUCUGUCUCUCUUCUCUUUUUGCCAUGUUGCCUGUUGGCACCUCGCUGGAGUUCCCAGGACGCCAGUGCCCGCUUUUGACCAAGUGAGAUGCAACAGAAGAGGUAGGCUCCUAAGGAGGCUUCUGCUGAGUGCUGUCCUUGACUCAGGCUUUGUACAAUGACCAGCCUUUGUUGCUAAGCCACGUUGUUGAGCACCGCGUGUGAAGCUUUCUUCUUUCUUUCUUUCUUUCUAGGCUUGGCGACUCCUCCACCAGAUGCAGCAUCAUUUUGGGCUGCCCAAGCUUCUGCAGUGAACGUGUCUCGUUCCUGGUAAAGGUGUGGGCGUUCCUGGAUGCGCCCAGUCCCCCGGAUCCCUGACGUCUCCUGUUUCACACGCUCGCUGAGGUCCUUUGGGGCUUGGUGUCGGUUGUCCCUCGUGCUCACGUUGCUUUCACCGGGUGUUCUUCCUUUCCCCAUGCUCAGUUCUGCCCAGUGCUGAUGGGGUGUCAGUGCCCCCUGCUGCUCUCAAUCAAAGGUAGGUUCGAUUCUUGGUGUCUUCCAUAGCAUUUGCUACACUUUUAUUCUGUCUCUCUUCUCUUUUUGCCAUGUUGCCUGUUGGCGCCUCGCUGGAGUUCCCAGGACGCCAGUGCCCGCUUUUGACCAAGUGAGAUGCAACAGAAGAGGUAGGCUCCUAAGGAGGCUUCUGCUGAGUGCUGUCCUUGACUCAGGCUUUGUACAAUGACCGGCCUUUGUUGCUAAGUCACGUUGUUGAGCACCGCGUGUGAAGCUUUCUUCUUUCUUUCUUUCUAGGCUUGGCGACUCCUCCACCAGAUGCAGCAUCAUUUUGGGCUGCCCAAGCUUCUGCAGUGAACGUGUCCCGUUUGUGGUAAAGGUGUGGGCGUUCCUGGAUGCGCCCAGUCCCCCGGAUCCCUGACGUCUCCUGUUUCACACGCUCGCUGAGGUCCUUUGGGGCUUGGUGUCGGUUGUCCCUCGUGCUCACGUUGCUUUCACCGGGUGUUCUUCCUCUCCCCAUGCUCAGUUCUGCCCAGUGCUGAUGGGUUGUCAGUGCCACCUGCUGCUCUUAAGAAAAGGUAGGUUUGAUUUCUUUUGGUUUCCAGAGCAUUUGCUACACUUUCAUUCUGUCUCUCUUCUUUUUUUUUCUUUUUGCUCUGAAUAAAUGGCAGGUUCAAUUCAUUUUGGCUUCUGUAGUAUUUGCUUCACUUGUGUUCUGUUUCUCUUCUCUUUUUUCCAUGUUGCCUGGCGGUGCCUCGCUGGAGUUCCCAUGACCCCCGGGCACACUUGUGACCAAGUGAGGUGCCAAAAGAAGAGGUAUCUCCUAAACAGGCUUCUGCUGAGUGCUGUCCUCGUUUUGGGGAUUGGCGACUCCACCACCAGACGUAGCAGGCGUUUUGGGGCGUCCAAGGUUCCGCAGUGAGCGUGUCCUGUUCCUGGUCAAGGUGUGGGCGUUCCAGGACAUAAAGGUAUCUUCAUGCUUUCCCCAAGUGCCAAGUACCCCGCCAGAUGCUGUUUGCCUUUUGGCACCCCCUCAGUUGCUGUAAUGUCUGCGCCUUGAUUCUUGGAGAGGGGUAAGUGACACCUUUGAAAUCAAGCGAUAUUUUAGGUUAAAAACAGGGAUUUCUAUGAAAAUAAGUGAUAUUUCAGGGGAAAAACAGGGAUUUCUAUGAAAAUAAGCGAUAUUGAAGGGGAAAAACAGGGAUUUCUUUGAAAACAAGCUAUACUGAAGGGGAAAAACAGGGAUUUCUUUGAAAACAAGCUAUAUUUCAGGAUAAAAACAGGGAUUUCUAUGAAAAUAAGCGAUGUUUGAGGAUAAAAACUGGGAUUUCUGAGAAAGUAAGCGAUAUUUCAGGGGAAAAACAGGGAUUUCUAUGAAAAUAAGCGAUAUUUCAGGGAAGAAACAGGGAUUUCUAUGAAAAUAAGCGAUAUUUAAGGGAAGAAACAGGGAUUUCUAUGAAAAUAAGCGAUAUUUAAGGUUAAAAACAGGGAUUUCUUGGAAUAUAAGCAAAAAUUUAGAGGAGCAAAGAUGUCAGUGCCACCUGCUGCUUUCAAUAACUGGCAGGUUCAAUUCAUUUUGGCUUCUGUACUAUUUGCUACACUUGUGUUCUGUUUCUCUUCUCUUUUUUCCAUGUUGCCUAGCGGUGCCUCGCUGGAGUUCCCAUGACACCCAGGCACACUUGUGACCAAGUGAGGUGCCAAAAGAAGAGGUGUCUCCUAAACAGUCUUCUGCUGAGUGCUGUCCUCGUCUUGGGGAUUGGCGACUCCACCAGCAGACGUAGCAGGCAUUUUGGGACGUCCAAGGUUCCGCAGUUAGCGUGUCCUGUUCCUGGUAAUGGUGUGGGCGUUCCAGGACACGAAGGUAUCUAUCUUCAUGCCUUCCCCAUGUGCCCAGUCCCCCACCAGAUGCUGUUAGCCUUUUGGCCCCCCUGAUUUGCUGCACUGCUGCGCCCUGAUCCUUGCAGAGGGGUAAGUGACACCUUUGUCCCUUCGGGAAAGCGAUCUCCACUUUCCUCUCGUUGGUCAAGGACAGCACUGUCCCUCUCCCGCCAGGCUCUCAUUGGUCACCGGCCGCGCCGUCCCGCCCUCUUCAGCCGGUGAUUGGUCAGCGGCAGCGCUGUCCUGCCCUCGUCAGCCUGUGAUUGGUCACCGGUCGCGCCGUCCCGCCCUCUUCAGCCAGUGAUUGGUCAGCGGCAGCGCUGUCCCGCCCUCGUCAGCCUGUGAUUGGUCACCGGCCGCGCCGUCCCGCCCUCUUCAGCCAGUGAUUGGUCAUCGGCAGCGCUGUCCCGCCCUCGUCAGCCUGUGAUUGGUCACCGGUCGCGCCGUCCCGCCCUCGUCAGCCUCUCAUUGGUCAUCGGCAGCGCCGUCCUGCCUCCGUCAUUCUCUCAUUGGUUCUCGGCAACGCCGUCCCGCCUCCGCCAGCCUCUCAUUGGUCAGCAGCAGCGCCGUCCCGCCUCCGUCAUUCUCUCAUUGGUCAGCGGCAGCGCCGUCCCGCCUCCGCCAGCCUCUCAUUGGUCAGCGGCAGCGCCAUCCCGCCCUCGUCAGCCUGUGAUUGGUCACAGGCAGCGCCGUCCCGCCUUCGCCUGCCUGUGAUUGGUCAUCGGCAGCUCCGUCCCGCCUCCGCCAGUAUCUCAUUGGUCAGCAGCAGCCUUUUCCCCGCCUUUUCCCCGCCUUUUUCUUUGCUUUCUCUCUCCUUUAUUCCCCCUCAUCCUGUGUCAUAAGUGACUGAAGGAAUGAUGGACAAGCUGGUGCAGGAUGGCAGCAGCAGGGUGGAGGCACAGGUGGGUGCGAUGAAGCCGGGGGUGGGACUGGGUGGAGCCAGAGCCCCGCCUGAGCUCAUUUAAGGGCUGGGAAUCGCAGGGCUCAGAUGUGUGCCUGGGCUUCUGGUGUCAGUGAGGUUAAGUGAGCAGUGAGGUUUGGGGGAACCGAGUUGUUGGCCUUGAGAUUGAUGCCCAGCUCCUUGCUCGUCGCAUUCUGUUGGGCUCGAGGUUCCGGACACAGGUUGCUCUUCUAAGCAGUGGGAGGACUGCGAGAAAGACUUUGUUGGAUGCAGCAGGAAAGCACAGCCGCUGGUGGAUGCCAGUGUCCGCUCCUGAGGCUCUGCGCCAAGGUACGUGGAUCCCCGCCGUCUCCUGUUUCACACGCUCGCUCAGGUCCUCGGGCUUGGUGUCGGUUGUCCCUCGUGCUCACGUUGCUUUCACCGAGUGUUCUUCCUCUCCCCAUGCCCGGCUCUGCCCAGUGCUGAUGGGAUGUCAGUGCCCCCUGCUGCUCUCAAUCAAAGGUAGGUUCAAUUCCUGUUGUCUUCCAUAGCAUUUGCUACACUUUUAUUCUGUCUCUCUUCUCUUUUUGCCAUGUUGCCUGUUGGCGCCUCGCUGGAGUUCCCAGGACGCCAGUGCCCGCUUUUGACCAAGUGAGAUGCAACGGAAGAGGCUUGGCGACUCCUCCACCAGAUGCAGCAUCAUUUUGGGCUGCCCAAGCUUCUGCAGUGAACGUGUCCCGUUUGUGGUAAAGGUGUGGGCGUUCCUGGAUGCGCCCAGUCCCCCGGAUCCCUGACGUCUCCUGUUUCACACGCUCGCUGAGGUCCUUUGGGGCUUGGUGUCGGUUGUCCCUUGUGCUCACGUUGCUUUCACCGGGUGUUCUUCCUCUCCCCAUGCUCAGUUCUGCCCAGUGCUGAUGGGUUGUCAGUGCCACCUGCUGCUCUUAAGAAAAGGUAGGUUUGAUUUCUUUUGGUUUCCAGAGCAUUUGCUACACUUUCAUUCUGUCUCUCUUCUUUUUUUUUUCUUUUUGCUCUGAAUAAAUGGCAGGUUCAAUUCAUUUUGGCUUCUGUAGUAUUUGCUUCACUUGUGUUCUGUUUCUCUUCUCUUUUUUCCAUGUUGCCUGGCGGUGCCUCGCUGGAGUUCCCAUGACCCCCGGGCACACUUGUGACCAAGUGAGGUGCCAAAAGAAGAGGUAUCUCCUAAACAGGCUUCUGCUGAGUGCUGUCCUCGUUUUGGGGAUUGGCGACUCCACCACCAGACGUAGCAGGCGUUUUGGGGCGUCCAAGGUUCCGCAGUGAGCGUGUCCUGUUCCUGGUCAAGGUGUGGGCGUUCCAGGACAUAAAGGUAUCUUCAUGCUUUCCCCAAGUGCCAAGUACCCCGCCAGAUGCUGUUUGCCUUUUGGCACCCCCUCAGUUGCUGUAAUGUCUGCGCCUUGAUUCUUGGAGAGGGGUAAGUGACACCUUUGAAAUCAAGUGAUAUUUUAGGCUAAAAACGGGGAUUUCUAUGAAAAUAAGCGAUAUUUCAGGGAAGAAACAGGGAUUUCUAUGAAAAUAAGUGAUAUUUCAGGGGAAAAACAGGGAUUUCUAUGAAAAUAAGCGAUAUUUAAGGUUAAAAACCGGGAUUUCUUUGAAAACAAGCUAUAUUUCAGGAUAAAAACAGGGAUUUCUAUGAUAAUAAGCGAUGUUUGAGGAUAAAAACUGGGAUUUCUGAGAAAGUAAGCGAUCUUUCAGGGGAAAAAACAGGGAUUUCUAUGAAAAUAAGCGAUAUUUAAGGUUAAAAACAGGGAUUUCUUGGAAUAUAAGCAAAAAUGUAGAGGAGCAAAGAUGUCAGUGCCACCUGCUGCUUUCAAUAACUGGCAGGUUCAAUUCAUUUUGGCUUCUGUAGUAUUUGCUUCACUUGUGUUCUGUUUCUCUUCUCUUUUUUCCAUGUUGCCUGGCGGUGCCUCGCUGGAGUUCCCAUGACCCCCGGGCACACUUGUGACCAAGUGAGGUGCCAAAAGAAGAGGUGUCUCCUAAACAGGUUUCUGCUGAGUGCUGUCCUCGUCUUGGGGAUUGGCGACUCCACCAGCAGACGUAGCAGGCAUUUUGGGACGUCCAAGGUUCCGCAGUGAGCGUGUCCUGUUCCUGGUAAUGGUGUGGGCGUUCCAGGACACGAAGGUAUCUAUCUUCAUGCCUUCCCCAUGUGCCCAGUCCUCCACCAGAUGCUGUUAGCCUUUUGGCCCCCCUGAUUUGCUGCACUGCUGCGCCCUGAUCCUUGCAGAGGGGUAAGUGACACCUUUGUCCCUUCCGGAAAGCGCUCUCCACUUUACUCUCGUUGGUCAAGGGCAGCACUGUCCCUCUCCCGCCACGCUCUCAUUGGUCUCCGGCUCUGCCGUCCCGCCCUCAUGUGCUUCUCAUUGGUGAUCGACAGCGCCGUCCCGCCCUCGUCAGCCUGUGAUUGCUCACAGGCAGCGCUGUCCCGCAUUCGCCCGCCUGUGAUUGGUCAUCGGCAGCGCCGUCCCGCCCUCGUCAUCCUGUGAUUGGUCACAGGCAGCGCCGUUCCGCCCUCGCCUGCCUGUGAUUUGUUAUAGGCAGCGCCGUCCCGUCCUCGCCAGCCUGUGAUUGGUCAUCGGCAGCGCCGUCCCGCCCUCAUGUGCGUCUCACUGCUAAUCGACAGUGCCGUUCCGCCCUCAUCAGCCUCUCAUUGGUCAUUGGCAGCGCCGUCCCGCCCCUGCAGCCUAUCAUUGGUCAGCGGCAGGGCGGUCCCGCCCCUGUCUGCCUCUCAUUGGUCACCGGCAGCUGUCCCGCCCUCGCCAGUCUUUCAUUGGUCAUCGGCAGCUCCGUCCCGCCUCCGCCAGCAUCUCAUUGGUCAGCAGCAGCCUUUUCCCCGCCUUUUCCCCGCCUUUUUCUUUGCUCUCUCUCUCCAUUCUUUCCCCUCAUCCUGUUACAGAAGAGACUGAAGGAAUGAUGGACAAGCUUGUGCAGGAUGGCAGUAGCAGGGUGGAGGCACAGGUGGGUGCGAUGAAGCCGGGGGUGGGACUGGGUGGAGCCAGAGCCCAGCCUGAGCUCAUUUAAGGGCUGGGAAUCGCAGGGCUCAGAUGUGUGCCUGGGCUUCUGGUGUCUGGUGUCAGGCUGAGCAGUGAGGUUUGGGGGAACCGAGUUGUUGGCCUUGAGAUUGAUGCCCAGCUCCUUGCUCGUCGCAUUCUGUUGGGCUCGAGGUUCCGGACGUGGGUUGCUCUUCUAAGCAGUGGGAGGACUGCGAGGAAGACUUUGUUGGAUGCAGCAGGAAAGCACAGCCGCUGGUGGAUGCCAGUGUCCGCUCCUGAGGCUCUGCGCCAAGGUACGUGGAUCCCCGCCGUCUCCUGUUUCACACGCUCGCUGAGGUCCUCGGGCUUGGUGUCGGUUGUCCCUCGUGCUCACGUUGCUUUCACCGGGUGUUUUUCCUCUCCCCAUGCCCGGCUCUGCCCAGUGCUGAUGGGGUGUCAGUGCCCCCUGCUGCUCUCAAUCAAAGGUAGGUUCGAUUCCUGUUGUCUUCCAUAGCAUUUGCUACACUUUUAUUCUGUCUCUCUUCUCUUUUUGCCAUGUUGCCUGUUGGCGCCUCGCUGGAGUUCCCAGGACGCCAGUGCCCGCUUUUGACCAAGUGAGAUGCAACAGAAGAGGUAGGCUCCUAAGGAGGCUUCUGCUGAGUGCUGUCCUUGACUCGGGCUUUGUACAAUGACCAGCCUUUGUUGCUAAGUCACGUUGUUGAGCACCGCGUGUGAAGCUUUCUUCUUUCUUUCUUUCUAGGCUUGGCGACUCCUCCACCAGAUGCAGCAUCAUUUUGGGCUGCCCAAGCUUCUGCAGUGAACGUGUCCCGUUUGUGGUAAAGGUGUGGGCGUUCCUGGAUGCGCCCAGUCCCCCGGAUCCCUGACGUCUCCUGUUUCACACGCUCGCUGAGGUCCUUUGGGGCUUGGUGUCGGUUGUCCCUUGUGCUCACGUUGCUUUCACCGGGUGUUCUUCCUCUCCCCAUGCUCAGUUCUGCCCAGUGCUGAUGGGUUGUCAGUGCCACCUGCUGCUCUUAAGAAAAGGUAGGUUUGAUUUCUUUUGGUUUCCAGAGCAUUUGCUACACUUUCAUUCUGUCUCUCUUCUUUUUUUUUUUCUUCUUGCUCUGAAUAAAUGGCAGGUUCAUUUCAUUUUGGCUUCUGUAGUAUUUGCUUCACUUGUGUUCUGUUUCUCUUCUCUUUUUUCCAUGUUGCCUGGCGGUGCCUCGCUGGAGUUCCCAUGACCCCCGGGCACACUUGUGACCAAGUGAGGUGCCAAAAGAAGAGGUAUCUCCUAAACAGGCUUCUGCUGAGUGCUGUCCUCGUCUUGGGGUUUGUACAAUGCCCACCUUUCUUCUCUAAUCCACUUUGUUGAGGACCACGUGUGAGGCUUUCUUCUUUCUUGGUAGGAUUGGCGACUCCUCCACCAGACGUAGCAGGCAUUUUGGGACGUCCAAGGUUCCGCAGUGAGCGUGUCCUGUUCCUGGUCAAGGUGCGGGCGUUCCAGGACAUAAAGGUAUCUUCAUGCUUUCCCCAUGUGCCAAGUACCCCGCCAGAUGCUGUUUGCCUUUUGGCACCCCCUCAGUUGCUGUGAUGUCUGCGCCUUGAUUCUUGGAGCGGGGUUUCCAUACUGAGCCAUGGCUGCUAUUAAGGACAGUAAUAGCAGAGCCGGAGCCAGUCAAGCGUCCUCCAUCUCACCGAGGUCAAGGUGCGCACGGCGAGGAAGUCAUACGG
Lagopus muta (rock ptarmigan) is the source of this 9872-nucleotide long non-coding RNA. RefSeq lists it as uncharacterized. The record is from RefSeq and is a predicted model, not a curated record. NCBI's taxonomy places the organism in Eukaryota, Metazoa, Chordata, Aves, Galliformes, Phasianidae. The transcript is spliced from 8 exons.